AUGGCUGAGGAGCUGGUGCUCGACACGGCGAUCCGGGACUGGGUCCUCAUCCCGCUCUCCGUGGUCAUGGUGCUCAUCGGCGUGCUCCGCUACUUCGUCUCCAAGCUCAUGCGCUCCCCGCCGUCGGCCUCCCCCUCCCCCGACCCCAAGACCGUCAAGGAGGGGCAGGUCGUCAUCAGGGCGAGGAACCUGAGGAACGGCGCGCAGUUCAUCCCGGCCAAGGCCUUCAAAGCCCGCAAGCUUUAUUACACCAACGGGGAAGCCGGAUUGCUUCAUGUUCCUAAAGAGGAUGCGCAGAAGGCUCAGGCCGCUAUGUUUUCAGACCCAAACAUGGCCAUGGACAUGAUGAAGAAGAAUCUCUCCAUGAUAGUUCCACAGACGCUUACAUUUGCAUGGGUGAACUUCUUCUUUUCCGGUUUUGUUGCAGCGAAAAUCCCCUUCCCAUUGACUCAACGAUUCAGGGGAAUGCUGCAAAAUGGGAUAGACCUGAGUACUGUUGAUGUGAGCUAUGUUAGCAGCCGUUCAUGGUACUUCCUCAAUUUGUUUGGCUUGAGGGGUCUUUUCAGUCUCAUCCUUGGUGAAGAAAAUGCUACUGAUGAUGCCCAAAAGAUGAUGGCGAUGGGUGGUGGAAUGGGCUUUAAUCCAGCAAUGAGCUUGAGCGCAGAGAAAGACAGCCUCGACAUCAUCCAGCAUGACUGGGCUUUACCGAAGAUGGAGCGUCAUGCCGAAGAGGUGUUGAGGAAACUACUGAAGAAUUGA
RNAcentral lists this ribosomal RNA (759 nucleotides) under Triticum aestivum (bread wheat). RNAcentral's name for it is "partial small subunit ribosomal RNA". Lineage: Eukaryota; Viridiplantae; Streptophyta; Magnoliopsida; Poales; Poaceae. The record is from RNAcentral.